This 442-nucleotide ribosomal RNA is filed under the name uncultured bacterium. RNAcentral describes it as "partial 16S ribosomal RNA". It matches the Rfam family "Bacterial small subunit ribosomal RNA", at positions 338 to 795 of the family's 1533-position model. The record is from RNAcentral.
CCUACGUGAGGCAGCAGUGGGGGAUAUUGCACAAUGGGGGAAACCCUGAUGCAGCGACGCCGCGUGGGCGAAGAAGUAUUUCGGUAUGUAAAGCCCUAUCAGCAGGGAAGAAGAAAUGACGGUACCUGAGUAAGAAGCACCGGCUAAAUACGUACCAGCAGCCGCGGUAAUACGUAUGGUGCAAGCGUUAACCGGAUUUACUGGGUGUAAAGGGAGCGCAGGCGGCACGGCAAGCCUGAUGUGAAAGCGCGCGGCCCAACCGCGGGACUGCAUUGGGAACUACCGGGCUGGAGUGCCGGAGAGGUAGGCGGAAUGCCUAGUGUAGCGGUGAAAUGCGUAGAUAUUAGGAGGAACACCAGUGGCGAAGGCGGACUACUGGACGGUGACUGACGCUGAGGCUCGAAAGCGUGGGGAGCAAACAGGAUUAGAUACCCUUGUAGUC